This is a long non-coding RNA of Seriola aureovittata, 1844 nucleotides long. RefSeq lists it as uncharacterized. The transcript is spliced from 3 exons. NCBI's taxonomy places the organism in Eukaryota, Metazoa, Chordata, Actinopteri, Carangiformes, Carangidae. The record is from RefSeq and is a predicted model, not a curated record.
UUAAAGCUAAAAGCUGAAGUCUGUUCCAGAAACACUUGACCAUUCCUCUGUCAUCAGACUGGAUCACUGUAACACUCAGCAGAACCUGCCACCAACCAACCAUCAAGAGGAAGAACUGGUCGUUGUACCAUGAUAAAUUAGACUGAAGCUCCACAGUUUACAAACCUCUCCUCAUCCCACAUCAUCAGCUGCUGUAAAUCACAGAAGAGACGAGGCAGAAGUGACACAACACAAAGAAACAUGAAGGAACUCAAACUGACUCAGGAUCAGUCAGAGGUCAGUCCAUAAAGACACCAACAAAUCCUGAGGAGUGUAUUUUUUCAUUUGAAGAAACUUAAUACAUCAUUGAACGUAAAGUGUAUGAAUAUAAAUGUAAUGUUACAGUGUCAAACUGGAGGACAUGUUCCCAUCUGUGUGUGUUCACAACUUGAUAAAGUCAAACACUGGAACACUACAAGAGUUUAUUAUCAUUAAUAUGAACCUGGGCUCUCAGAUAUGUGUGCGUGCGUGCGUGUGCAUUCGUGUGUGUUUAUAAACCAACUUCCUUCUCCUUUUAUUUAAUGACUUUUAUCAAAAUCUGCAAAAUUCCUUCCAGGUUUUGAUCUUCACAGUCUUCAAGAUUAUGUAGAAGUUCCUGACUCGUCCAUCACAGUGGACAACGUGUCUCAUCAUGUCUCAUCUUGUGUUACAGAGUUGUGUGUUGCUGCAGUUCAAAGUGCAGAUUAAAAGUGUUAAAGUAGGAGAAGAGAAGGAUAUAAAGAGCAUGAGAAGAAGAAUCUGAGAGUGGAGCCAUAUUUUCACGCUCUUUAUAUUCUUUAGAACAGACACACCAACAAAAGACAAAUGAAAACAACCACUUUUUACGCUCUGUGUGUGGCUUACAGUCAAACCGAUGUCUGUUUAUGGCUUAGGGUGUGUGGUGAAAAAGCCAUUGGCUGUACGCCAGUGCUCUUUACGAGAAUAAGUUAUUUCUUUAGAUGGAUUUCCUGAAUUCCAUCACCACAUGACUUUCUGGAUCAAGUCAAGAAACAGUCUCCAGCUCUAGACCAGAUUAGAUAAACCAAGAAUUCAUCAACAGCAUUUUUUAAGCGGUGGAUCGUAACAGGAAGUGAUUAUUAGAAGAAAUGCUGUUUCAUCUUUGAAAUGAUUCAUAAAACAUCAUGUAUCUAAACAGGUGUCGGGAUAUUAGAUCAAGGUCGAGCUCAAACAAGAUAAUCAUUGAUAUGAGCAACAACACGUCACAGUGUGAUCUGGAGGAUUGUUAAAUGAAAGCUCAUCUUCAGAGUCAACACCUGUAACAAAGUACAAACAGGAAAACACCUGACAACAUCUAACACACCUGUUUAUUGUCUCACAGGUUCUGUAGCAGGUGUUGAUAUGAUGCAACAACAGUCCACAUGAGACGAAGCUGCAGGACGGACAAAUAAUAAUAAUAUCCAACAAUAACUUAUAUCACAAUUCACAUUUGUGACACUAGUCACAGUCACAGUCUUUCUCACUUUUUAAGACUCAGGUGACCAACUGUGAUGACAGCUAGUCUUGUGAGAGGUGAAAGGUCAGAGGUCAGACUGGGUGUGCAGAGAAAAGCAGCCUCAUGGACCAACAGGGUGACAGGAAGCAGAGACAGAGAGAAGUCUGCUCUCUGAGGAACGUCACUCUUACACCUCUGAAUAAAGGUUUACUGUCUCAUCAGGAGAUUUAGUGAAACAAGGACUUGAGGAACAGCAGAGUUUGACCAGUAGAGCUGCUGCUGCUGUCAGUCCCAGUCCAGCGUAGAGGCCGAUCCUUUUAUAAAUCUCUGGUUCUGGUCUCUCAGUUGGUCUCUGAGUUUCAGGCUGAUCAAC